RNAcentral lists this ribosomal RNA (787 nucleotides) under uncultured bacterium. Its description in RNAcentral is "bacterial SSU rRNA". It matches the Rfam family "Bacterial small subunit ribosomal RNA", at positions 558 to 1344 of the family's 1533-position model. The record is from RNAcentral.
GCGUAAAGGGCUCGUAGGUGGUUUGUCGCGUCGUCUGUGAAAUUCCGGGGCUUAACUCCGGGCGUGCAGGCGAUACGGGCAUAACUUGAGUACUGUAGGGGUAACUGGAAUUCCUGGUGUAGCGGUGAAAUGCGCAGAUAUCAGGAGGAACACCGAUGGCGAAGGCAGGUUACUGGGCAGUUACUGACGCUGAGGAGCGAAAGCAUGGGUAGCGAACAGGAUUAGAUACCCUGGUAGUCCAUGCCGUAAACGGUGGGCGCUAGGUGUGAGGGUCUUUUCACGACUUUCGUGCCGUAGCUAACGCAUUAAGCGCCCCGCCUGGGGAGUACGGCCGCAAGGCUAAAACUCAAAGGAAUUGACGGGGGCCCGCACAAGCGGCGGAGCAUGUGGAUUAAUUCGAUGCAACGCGAAGAACCUUACCUGGGCUUGACAUACACUGGAUCGGGCUAGAGAUAGUCUUUCCCUUUGUGGCUGGUGUACAGGUGGUGCAUGGUUGUCGUCAGCUCGUGUCGUGAGAUGUUGGGUUAAGUCCCGCAACGAGCGCAACCCUUGUCUUAUGUUGCCAGCAUUUGGUUGGGGACUCAUGAGAGACUGCCGGGGUCAACUCGGAGGAAGGUGGGGAUGACGUCAAAUCAUCAUGCCCCUUAUGUCCAGGGCUUCACACAUGCUACAAUGGUCGGUACAACGCGCAGCGACACUGUGAGGUGGAGCGAAUCGCUGAAAGCCGGCCUUAGUUCGGAUUGGGGUCUGCAACUCGACCCCAUGAAGUCGGAGUCGCUAGUAAUCG